This 253-nucleotide unclassified non-coding RNA is filed under the name uncultured Gammaproteobacteria bacterium. Its description in RNAcentral is "contains 16S-23S intergenic spacer region". It matches the Rfam family "Bacterial small subunit ribosomal RNA", at positions 524 to 776 of the family's 1533-position model. Lineage: Bacteria; Pseudomonadati; Pseudomonadota; Gammaproteobacteria. The record is from RNAcentral.
UACAGAGGGUGCAAGCGUUAAUCGGAAUGACUGGGCGUAAAGGGCGCGUAGGUGGUUAAAUACGUCAGCUGUGAAAGACUCAUGCUUAACGUGGGAAUUGCAGUUGAAACGGUUUGACUUGAGUGCUGUAGAGGGCAGAAGAAUUUCCGGUGUAGCGGUGAAAUGCGUAGAUAUCGGAAAGAAUACCAGUGGCGAAGGCGACUGUCUGGGCAGACACUGACACUGAGGCGCGAAAGCAUGGGGAGCAAACAGG